Long non-coding RNA from Arachis stenosperma, 366 nucleotides. RefSeq lists it as uncharacterized. Lineage: Eukaryota; Viridiplantae; Streptophyta; Magnoliopsida; Fabales; Fabaceae. The record is from RefSeq and is a predicted model, not a curated record. The transcript has 3 exons.
CACCACCGGGGAUGCCGCUACUUAGCUUAAUCGCUACUUCUUAUUUGCGGUUACGAUUAGAGUUGCUAUGGUUGCUGCAAAAGUGGUUUGGAGCUGAGGUUGCGACUGUCGUUGUUGCGAGUCGAGAGAAAAUGGAGUUUUGUCACGUAAUUGAGUCGCGAUUGAGUGACAGAUUUAGGAAGUUUUGGCGCGGAGCUGCGACCGAGCUAAGGAUGCCUUAUUUACAUAUAUGUAUCUUUAUUUUCUGUAUUUGAUUUAACCUUAGAUUUUGUUUUUCCCUCGUCAUUUAUUCUUUUGUAAUUUUAGAGGGAUAGGACUUGUAUUUGAGAAGUAUUUGAAUAAGUUUAUGUAUUUAUUAUUAUGUGG